GAGAAGGGCGUUUGGUGAAUGCCUUGGCAGUAAGAGGCGAUGAAGGACGUGAUACUCUGCGAUAAGCUGCGGUUAGCCGAGAAUAGGCUGUGAUCCGCGGAUCUCCGAAUGGGGCAACCCACCUGACAGUUUCAUAUUGUUGCGCAAAGAAA
Molecule: ribosomal RNA, 152 nt
Filed under: Florenciella parvula
Lineage: Eukaryota; Dictyochophyceae; Florenciellales
Description: partial Bacterial large subunit ribosomal RNA
Rfam family: Bacterial large subunit ribosomal RNA
Source: RNAcentral